Molecule: ribosomal RNA, 623 nt
Filed under: uncultured bacterium
Lineage: Bacteria
Description: bacterial SSU rRNA
Rfam family: Bacterial small subunit ribosomal RNA (bases 1-525)
Source: RNAcentral
CCUACGGGAGGCAGCAGUGGGGAAUAUUGGACAAUGGGCGAAAGCCUGAUCCAGCAAUGCCGCGUGAGUGAUGAAGGCCUUCGGGUCGUAAAGCUCUUUUACCAGGGAUGAUAAUGACAGUACCUGGAGAAUAAGCUCCGGCUAACUCCGUGCCAGCAGCCGCGGUAAUACGGAGGGAGCUAGCGUUGUUCGGAAUUACUGGGCGUAAAGAGUACGUAGGCGGUUAUUCAAGUCAGAGGUGAAAGCCCGGGGCUCAACCCCGGAACUGCCUUUGAAACUAGAUAACUAGAGUCUUGGAGAGGUUAGUGGAAUUCCGAGUGUAGAGGUGAAAUUCGUAGAUAUUCGGAAGAACACCAGUGGCGAAGGCGACUAACUGGACAAGUACUGACGCUGAGGUACGAAAGCGUGGGGAGCAAACAGGAUUAGAUACCCUGGUAGUCCACGCCGUAAACGAUGAUAACUAGUUGUUCGGUCAACUUGGUGUACGUGAGUGACGACGAGACUACGACAUUAAGUUAUUCCGUCCGUCGGGUAGGUACGGUCGCGAAGAAGUUAAACGUAACGAAAGAAGUAGUACGGACGNGUAAGUAGUAGUUCGACGACGACGACGAACGGAGGAGGNG